Molecule: ribosomal RNA, 567 nt
Filed under: Fusicladium caryigenum
Lineage: Eukaryota; Fungi; Ascomycota; Dothideomycetes; Venturiales; Sympoventuriaceae
Description: LSU rRNA
Rfam family: Eukaryotic large subunit ribosomal RNA
Source: RNAcentral
CCAACAGGGAUUGCCUCAGUAACGGCGAGUGAAGCGGCAACAGCUCAAAUUUGAAAUCUGGCGCAAGCCCGAGUUGUAAUUUGCAGAGGAUGUUUCGGGUGAAGCCGCGGUCCAAGUCCCUUGGAACAGGACGUCAUAGAGGGUGAGAACCCCGUACCUGGCCGCCGGUGCCCCCCGCUGUGAAACUCCUUCGACGAGUCGAGUUGUUUGGGAAUGCAGCUCUAAAUUGGUGGUAAAUUCCAUCUAAAGCUAAAUACCGGCCAGAGACCGAUAGCGCACAAGUAGAGUGAUCGAAAGAUGAAAAGCACUUUGAAAAGAGAGUUAAAAAGUACGUGAAAUUGUUGAAAGGGAAGCGCUUGCGGCCAGACUUGCCCGCGGUGGCUCAGCCCGCCCUUUGGCGGGUGUACUCCUCCGCGGUCAGGCCAGCAUCGGUUUGGGCGGCCGGACAAAGGCGCCGGGAACGUAGCCUCCCCUCGGGGAGGUGUUAUAGCCCGGCGCGCAAUGCGGCCAGCCCGGACCGAGGUUCGCGCUCUGCUAGGAUGCUGGCGUAAUGGCCGUAAGCGGCCC